GCUGGGGUGGGGAGCCCUGCGGCAGCUCCCCUCCUCGAGGCACCCCCACGGCAGCUCCCCAGCUCACCUCUGCUCUGCCUCCUCCCCGAGCACACCACCCCCACUCUAACUCUCCUCCCCUCCCAGGCUUGUGGCGCCAAACAGCUGAUUGGCGCUGUAAGCCUGGGAGGCGGGAGAAGUGGAGUUGCGACUGUGCGCUCGGGGAGGGGGUGUAGGAACGAUGUAAAAAAAAAUUGGGGGCACUGCUUUUUGGCUCCCCCAAAUCUUGGCGCCCUAGGCAACCGCCUAGUUUGCCUAAAUGGUAGCACCGGCCCUGGUUGUAUUCCUGGUGUGCUGGACCACUGUGAUCCCUUCAUGGAACACCAGCAUUGUGCACAGACUCCUGGUCAGAGUUGUGCGGGGGGGGGGGAGGGUUAGCGGGAUCCUCCCCUACAAAAUGUACCCUUUAGCCUAGAAGAAGAUGAAAUAGGCUGGGAGCCUUGAGAUCAGGAGCCAAGACCUGGCGUACUCUAAACAGUUAAGUCAACACAAGACAGCUUACAUUGACUUAACUGUGUAUGCAUUUACACUUCAUCUACAUCUACAGCUCUGGCCACUGUAACUGCCCCAUGAUGCUGUCUUAAUAACACCACAUCCCCGAGUGGUGUAGAGUCAAGGUCGACGUAGUUAAGUCAAUGCAGUGUCAGUGUAGACCCUGUGUUACUUACAUCAACUGUUCGUGGUCUCCAGGAGGUGUCUCCACCCUGACUGCUCUGGUCACCAUUGUGAACUCCAUUGCCCAGCGGCCAGGGAACUGCUCCUCCCCUUUAAAGCCCUGCAUUUUUGAAAUGCUAUGUCCUGGUUGCCCAGCUUGGAGAGCACACCUAGCAACUCUAGAGCAUGCCGGGCAACUGCCCAGCUAACCACGUUGGCUACACGCUGCAGACGCACUCCUGCCUGGAGUACACAGGACAUGGUGGAUCUCCUGGGUCUGCCAGGCACAGGUCCGAUCCAGCCAUAGAAACAUCAACAUCUACAAGCAGAUCGCUUGGGUCAUGGAAGUACAAGGGCUAUAGGAGGGAUGCAGCAAUGCCGUGAGAAAGCCAAGGGGCUGCUUCAGGCGUACCAGAAGGCAAGGGAGGCUAACAGUUGCUCUGGUGCAUAGUUACAGACCUGCUGCUUUUACAAAGAGCCAUCCUCAAACUCCACCCCACACCCACACACCAAGAGCCCCGUGGACACUGGGAGGUCCCUGCCGUGAGCACGGACAAGGAAGACAAGGACUUGGAGGAUCACCCUUGCAGACAACAUGGACAGGGACAGAGCGGAGAGGAGAAAGGCGCAGGAAAAGGAGAAGAAUGUGCAGCAGGAGAUGCUUGUACAUCUCAGGCAGCAGACAGACAGGCUGCAGACUCUGGUGGACCUGCAGGUUCAACAAUCCCAUGCUAACCUCUCUCUGCAGCCCAUAAAGAACUGCAUAUCGGGACCUCCCUACACCCCUGCAACAUUCCCCAUGGCAUCAGGGGUUGCUGAACUACCCCUAUCCCUCCACUUCUGGGACAUUAAAGACAUUCACAGCUUCACAUGUCUUUCACAGCUCUCAGUCUGGUGUCCCUGUGCUGGAGGUCUGGGGCGAGUCUGGUGCACAGAUCCAGGAAUGUGGCCUUGUUCGUCUGAAAGUUCUGCAGCCACUACUCGUCAUCACAAACCUGUAUGACAAUGCGAUCCCACCAGUCAGUGCUUGUUUCUUGGGCUCAAAACUGGCACUCUACUGUCUGAAGCUGCUCUGUGAAUGCCACCAACACCUUUGAUUUGUUUCUUUUUAUGUCCCACGGCAAGCUAGCCUCCAGAGAAUCAUCACGUUCCCUGUGGCUCCCCUUGUGGCUCUGCAAAUACUGGAGGAUCAGGUGGAUAUUCACGCAACACUCAUCACACUAGUGCAGAGCUGUGCAUGAUCUAUGCGUCUGUCACAGAUGGCAGACAGUGAGGAGGGACAUUCAGGUUUGUGCAGGUGAUUUUGAAAAGGACACAAAAUAUCAUGGGAUGCAGAUGAAAUUAUGAGAUAGAGAACACUGCAUUGUAGGAAGUUGAACCCAUGCUACCAGACACCCUGUGUGGUUCGUUUCAGCCCCACGAAGCAUUGCAAAAUCUUCCCAAAACACCCUGCGCUACAUGGCGGCAAGUUGCGCAAUGGGACAGCUACCCACAGUUCACUGCUCUCUGCAUCGAUACAAGCGCUCCUAGUGAGAAUGCGCACUGCCGACACAAGGAGCAUAAUGUGGACACACAGAAGCAAUGUAAUAACUGCAGCAGCUUUGUGCCAGCAUAAUUUAGGUCUACAUAAUUUUGUAGUGUACACAUGGCCCAAAUCUCUUCUGCUGCUGACUGCUAUCAAUAUAGCUGCAUGUUUUACAACCCUUAUUUUUGCCAAAGGUUCAUUAUGCUAGGAGCAGACAACUCUCAUUUCUCCAGUUCUACAUUUAAACUAACUGAGAUUGCACAAGGUCACAUCAGGUAGAACUGGGAUUAGAACUCAACUCUCCAAUAGUAUAGACCCAAGUCAUUUGAAUGCUAACACAGUCUUUUGCCACAAAGUUGAUCACUGUAUAUGUUUUCUAGCCACUGCUGAAAUCAACAGAAAUGUUUCCCUUCCAGAUCCAGGAACAGAACCCAAGAAUUCUGAUUUCCCACCAUCCUUGGUCAUUAAAUGGCUAUGCAGCCCACUUGAAAAGUGUGUUAGUUCAAAUAGUUAAGAGAAGGCAUUUAGCUGGGAAGGCCUUGUGUUCAAACUCAGUUGCUGAUCCGUGAUGAGGAUGCUGUGGUUCUAAGUGAUGGAAUUUCUGUUCUGCUAAUUAAGGUUGUAAUGAAGUUUAUUUUUAAAACCAAAUUUUGUCAGAUUUGAGAGGAUGCAGAUUGUCAGAUCAGCCUGAACUUAUGUUGGGGGCCUGAGAUACAGUCCAUGAAGUCACUCCUAGGAGAGCCAAGGACUUUCUGUGAUGCUCUGUACCUCGGGGGAACACCCAGCACCCCCAUGUUCAUCCUUGUAAAAUGAUUGUGUGGUAUCCAAUGCAAAAUUUGUCAUGUCAGGUGUCUUCGGAAGGCUCAUGAUGCACUGAGCAUGGUUGUUAUAUUGAUGUUAUAAUAAUUGUUAGAGUGAUGUUAUAGUAAUGUUAUAGGUUAUAAUUUCAUGAAUAUAGUUGAGACUGAAAAUGAAUCCUCAUGGGUUAAAGCAAGGCCAGGCAAAAGCUCUUCAAGAGCAGAGGGGCAGUUCACACCUCAUCAGGGCAUGGAUGGGACAAACCCAGUGCAGCCUCACAGGAACAAAGGACACUGGCCUAGGCAGCAAUAAAAGAAUCUCUUAGACUCUCGAGGGAGUCACCCUCCUUCUUUUGGUCAGUUUGGAACUGCAAUGAGGUAAUGCUCACCUGACUCUGAAGGGUGGGGGCAAAGCCAAGAGGGAAGAAAGAACAUGAUAAAAGGGAAAGACAUUUUGCCAUGUUCUCUCUCUCUUCCACCUCCAUCUGCAGACACCACCACCCAGCAACUGAAGCGCUGAUCAAAGGGGAGAGCCUGGCUGAAGAGCAAUCAGCCAGCUUGUGGUGAGACGCAUCUACGUUUGUACGGACAUUAAAAGUGUUAAGAUCAGCUUAGGAUGCAUUUUCUUUUUAUUUCAUUUGACCAAAUCUGACUUGUUAUGCUUUGACUUAGAAUCACUUAAAAUCUAUCUUUAUAGUUAAUAAAUCCGUUUGUUU
Molecule: long non-coding RNA, 3731 nt
Organism: Malaclemys terrapin pileata
Lineage: Eukaryota; Metazoa; Chordata; Testudines; Emydidae
Exons: 3
Source: RefSeq, a predicted model, not a curated record